This 19-nucleotide small RNA is filed under the name Arabidopsis thaliana (thale cress). Its description in RNAcentral is "ATSL054490". The record is from RNAcentral. Lineage: Eukaryota; Viridiplantae; Streptophyta; Magnoliopsida; Brassicales; Brassicaceae.
AAAAAAAAUCAAAAAAAAA